RNAcentral lists this long non-coding RNA (495 nucleotides) under Rattus norvegicus (Norway rat). Its description in RNAcentral is "long non-coding RNA NONRATT018924". The record is from RNAcentral. Lineage: Eukaryota; Metazoa; Chordata; Mammalia; Rodentia; Muridae.
CCUCUGAGUUUUGCUACCUUUUCACAUGGAGGGCAUUCUGGCUAUGAAGCUUCUAACAGAGAUCUUGGAGAGCACCCAUAAAACCACAGCGGAAGGAAUGGUGUUGUUUUCACUUUGGUAAUUCAGGAGUGGCCAGCCAUUGAAUGCAACCAAUGACAAACUGUGCAGGAGGUGAUAACCUAAGCUUCCACAGGCUCCUAAUUUGUAUAAACAAGUACCAGCCAGAUCUUCUCUGUGUAGCCAAGCAGUGUCCUCCAAUACAUCUCCGUUCAACCUGGCCCUCUGGGUACAAUCCACUCCCAAGCCCACCAACCCCAAGCCGCAGUGCAACAAGAAGGCAGGCAGGAAGGAGACAAAACCCUUCCUCCGUGCCAGUGGAUCUCCUCAGCAGGACCAAAUUGACAGCCCUUAAAAGGCGGCUGACGACAAGCGGCAUUAAUUAAGUCAUUGCCGGACUGUAAUUGUGUUAAGAAGUAAAAAAUCUAAUAUGAGAAA